UAACCCUAUCAAGUCGAUGGCCCCACGCGAGUGGGUUAAUAGGGAACACUGUCACGCUCCGGCCGGGUCAUGAACCCGGGAGCGAAGUCAGAGGCUGCUCCCGCAACUGUAGGCGGUAUGCCGUCGGUUCAUUCACCCCGAAAAGGUGAGUCACUGUUUCCGGAAAGGAAAUGGGAAGGCAGGAACCGACUGGCCAUGAUCCGUGAGCCAGGAGACCUGCCAUCGUCAUAUACCAAGC
This 238-nucleotide non-coding RNA is filed under the name Komagataeibacter medellinensis. Lineage: Bacteria; Pseudomonadati; Pseudomonadota; Alphaproteobacteria; Acetobacterales; Acetobacteraceae. The record is from RNAcentral.